CGAGCGAAGCAUAUUAGCAGAAGUUUUCGGAUGGAAGCGGAUAUGACUUAGCGGCGGACGGGUGAGUAACGCGUGGAUAACCUGCCUCAUACAGGGGGAUAACAGUUAGAAAUGACUGCUAAUACCGCAUAAGCGCACAGGACCGCAUGGUCCGGUGUGAAAAACUCCGGUGGUAUGGGAUGGAUCCGCGUCUGAUUAGCUGGUUGGUGAGGUAACGGCCCACCAAGGCGACGAUCAGUAGCCGACCUGAGAGGGUGGCCGGCCACAUUGGGACUGAGACACGGCCCAACUCCUACGGGAGGCAGCAGUGGGGAAUAUUGCACAAUGGGGGAAACCCUGAUGCAGCAACGCCGCGUGAGUGAAGAAGUAUUUCGGUAUGUAAAGCUCUAUCAGCAGGGAAGAAGAAAGACGGUACCUGACUAAGAAGCCCCGGCUAACUACGUGCCAGCAGCCGCGGUAAUACGUAGGGGGCAAGCGUUAUCCGGAUUUACUGGGUGUAAAGGGAGCGUAGACGGCUGUG
Molecule: ribosomal RNA, 520 nt
Filed under: uncultured bacterium
Lineage: Bacteria
Description: bacterial SSU rRNA
Rfam family: Bacterial small subunit ribosomal RNA
Source: RNAcentral